RNAcentral lists this long non-coding RNA (214 nucleotides) under Bos taurus (domestic cattle). RNAcentral describes it as "long non-coding RNA NONBTAT018525". Lineage: Eukaryota; Metazoa; Chordata; Mammalia; Artiodactyla; Bovidae. The record is from RNAcentral.
AUAUGAAGGAGGCUAGAAUAGCUUGAAAGAAAUCAAAUCUAGUUAUACACAUCUUUGGCAUUAAUCUGAUGUUUACUAGUGAUCUCUUGCACUGAACAGUUAAGCUUUGCUUCUAGAGGCUUUUCUUUUUAAAACAAAAGAAAGCUCUUUUCAUUUUCUCUGUGCUGCAUGCUCUAGUGUAUGUGUUUACACCAUCGGUUCUUCUACCUCUAGA